GGGCAUUUAUAUGUCUGGUAAUUGGAAUGAGUACAAUUUAAAUCCCUUAACGAGGAUCAAUUGGAGGACAAGUCUGGUGCCAGCACCCGCGGUAAUUCCAGCUCCAAUAGCGUAUAUUAAAGUUGUUGCAGUUAAAAAGCUCGUAGUUGGAUUUCUGAGCGUGUGCGUCUGCCCCACUGGGGUAACCCAGCGAGUGGCGGUGUGCGCCGUUCAUAUGAGAAGAAUCUCCAUUGCCGGUCAAACGGUGAUGGCUGACCUCUCGCUAUACUUUGAAAAAAUUAGAGUGUUUAAAGCAGGCUUGCGCUAUGAAUACAUUAGCAUGGAAUAUUAAUUUAGGACUUUGUUUCUAUUUUAUUGGUUUCUAGGAAUAAAGUAAUGAUUGAUAGGGAUAGUUGGGGGUGCUAGUAUUCAUCGGCCAGAGGUGAAAUUCUUGGAUUCGAUGAAGACUAACUAAUGCGAAAGCAUUCACCAAGGAUGUCUUCUUUAAUCAAGAACGAAAGUUGGGGGAUCGAAGACGAUCAGAUACCGUCGUAGUCUCAACCAUAAACUAUACCGACUAGGGAUUAGGGAAAGUUGCUUUUACGACUUCCUUAGCACCUUAUGAGAAAUCAGAAGUCUUUGGGUUCUGGGGGGAGUAUGGUCGCAAGGCUGAAACUUAAAGGAAUUGACGGAAG
Molecule: ribosomal RNA, 674 nt
Filed under: Cercomonadida environmental sample
Lineage: Eukaryota; Cercozoa; Cercomonadida
Description: SSU rRNA
Rfam family: Eukaryotic small subunit ribosomal RNA
Source: RNAcentral